GCCGGCGUAGCUCAACUGGCAGAGCAUCCGCCUUGUAAGCGGAAGGUUCGGGGUUCGAGUCCCCGCGUCGGCU
RNAcentral lists this transfer RNA (73 nucleotides) under Pseudonocardiaceae bacterium. RNAcentral's name for it is "tRNA-Thr". It matches the Rfam family "tRNA". From Rfam's summary of the family: Transfer RNA (tRNA) molecules are approximately 80 nucleotides in length. Their secondary structure includes four short double-helical elements and three loops (D, anti-codon, and T loops). Lineage: Bacteria; Bacillati; Actinomycetota; Actinomycetes; Pseudonocardiales; Pseudonocardiaceae. RNAcentral also lists the same sequence under 3 other names. The record is from RNAcentral.